Molecule: transfer RNA, 74 nt
Filed under: Chryseobacterium aquaticum subsp. greenlandense
Lineage: Bacteria; Pseudomonadati; Bacteroidota; Flavobacteriia; Flavobacteriales; Weeksellaceae
Also listed under: 2 other names
Description: Chryseobacterium greenlandense tRNA-Gln
Rfam family: tRNA
About the family: Transfer RNA (tRNA) molecules are approximately 80 nucleotides in length. Their secondary structure includes four short double-helical elements and three loops (D, anti-codon, and T loops).
Source: RNAcentral
AGACCUAUAGUGUAGUGGUAACACACCGGUUUUUGGUACCGUUAUCCGGGGUUCGAAUCCCUGUGGGUCUACAA